This 491-nucleotide ribosomal RNA is filed under the name uncultured bacterium. Its description in RNAcentral is "partial 16S ribosomal RNA". It matches the Rfam family "Bacterial small subunit ribosomal RNA", at positions 29 to 507 of the family's 1533-position model. The record is from RNAcentral.
AGUGAACGCUGGCGGUAGGCCUAACACAUGCAAGUCGAACGGCAGCACAGUAAGAGCUUGCUCUUACGGGUGGCGAGUGGCGGACGGGUGAGGAAUACAUCGGAAUCUACUUUUUCGUGGGGGAUAACGUAGGGAAACUUACGCUAAUACCGCAUACGACCUACGGGUGAAAGCAGGGGAUCUUCGGACCUUGCGCGAUUGAAUCAGCCGAUGUCGGAUUAGCUAGUUGGCGGGGUAAAGGCCCACCAAGGCGACGAUCCGUAGCUGGUCUGAGAGGAUGAUCGCCCACAUGGGAACGGGGAAACGGUCCGGAUCCCUAGGGGAGGCACAAGGGGGAAAAUUGGGACAAGGGGGGAAAGCCUGACCCAGCAAAACCGGGUGGUGGAAGAAGGCCUUCGGGUGGUAAAGCCUUUUUGUGGGGAAAGAAAAGCAGCAGUUAAAACCCCGGUUUUUUGGAGGUACCCAAAGAAUAAGCACCGGCUAACUUCGUG